AUUCUGACGUGUUUUUGGUCUGUUCAACCCUUUCCUUUCGCUGUGUCUUCCUUAAAUUGACGAAUAGGGUUGUAAGAGUGAAGGGACAGAGUUGGCGUCACCGGGCUUUUUAGGAAGGAGCGGCCGGGGCUGCACGUGCCGGAAGUAACUUAGCGGAACUCAGCUCGCGAGUACGCUUACGUCCUUGGAAGAAGCGCGAUCUCAGGAGUCGCGAGGAUCCGGGCUCAGCGUUUAGCAGUGGCGUGUGCUAGCUGUGGGACCGAGGCAUUACGUAAUGUGCCUGACGUUGUUUCCUCAGCUCCGAAGGCUGCGGUGUUGAUGAGACGUGGAAAGCGUCUGGGGUAAGGCUCGGCACAAAGCAAACAGGAAAUGUGCUUAUCAGUAUAAUUCCCCAAACCUCUCUCCCCGGUGAAACAAAUGAACACAGAGCUGCUCAGCUUGGAGGUGCGCCCCACCAAGCUUCUUUAAUAGAAGCCUCAAGCUUCUUGAGUUACACGAAAAACAAUUGCUAUUGGAAAAAGGCCAAACUUGUUAGAAGACAACCUGUCUUCUCCUAUUUAACUUCUCUCCUGAGACGCAAGACAGCGUUCACUGCUGAACAAUGUAUUCCUCAGUGUUUUUUCCUAAAGUUAUUUCCUCUACUGGGAGUGUAUUCUUUCUCCCUUUCUUAUUGGUCACGUAAGAUCUGAUUCCAGUUACAACUCUUUUUUGGGUGACUGAAUAAGAAAUUAUUUUUUAAGUAACAGUUUCCUGCCUUCAGUGUGGUAUAGCUACUUCAGGAACAAUUGAAAGUUAACUUUCUUUCUUGUUUUAGGAGGAUACACGGUGUGUAUGUUUAGAUUAUAGAGCACAGGAAUUGCUUUGUUCUCAUGGGAAAAGCAGGUAGAUUCCCAAGGGCACUGGGAAUAGGGGGAAACGCCAGGGUUGGGAAGGAGGACGUUUGUGGGCAUCCAGUGCCCUGCGUGGCACUGCUCUUUGCUCCAGAUAACGAUGGACUCUGGGAAAGUUACAUACUUAAGGUCCAUCUAAACAGGAUGGAGGGAACAUUAACAAAUGAGUUUUGCAAUUCUCACGAGAUCAGAGGACAAAAGCUAGAUUUAAUUAGACUCAGUUAAAAACUGCUAUUUCUUUUAAAAUGGCACAACUUAAUUUUCAUCUGCUACAGAGAACUACAUAAAUAAGUUAUAUGGAAAUGCAAUGUUCUGGAACCAGUUUUGUGGCACAACAGCCUACAGCUGCUGCCUGUGAUGCUGGCAUCCUUGGCAUCCCGUAUGGGUGCCGUUUGAAACCUAGCUUCCAAUCCAGUUCCCUCCAAAUGGCCGGGGAAAAACGUCAGAGCAUGGUCCAAGUACUUGAGCUCCUGCUAUCUGUGUGGGAGACCAAGAUGAAGCUCCUGGUUCCUGACUCCGUUGUGGCUCAACCUUGACCAUUGCAACCAUCUGGGGAGCGAACCAGCAGAUGGACGAUCUCUCUCUGGCCCCUUCUCUCUCCCCAUUUAACAGAUGUAGAGGAGUAGAAGACAUGCCUGGUGUCAUCUUGUACCAUGAUAGAGUAUGGUUUCUGGAAUUAGAUCUGGAUUAAAUUAUACCGCUGCCAUGACCUAGCUGUAUGAUUUGGGGCUGAGAUACUGAUGCUUAGAGAUUCUGUUCAGCCUCUGCACAGCUGGAAUAAGUCAUCCUCAAUAGAAGGAAGAGAGAUGUGUCCAACUUCCACAUCACUUCCUUAAAGGAAUCUGGAAUUAAGAAUAAGACACAAAUAUGCAGUGAUACCUAUUGGAAGAUGAAAAAGUUUUAAAUGACAUUCCAUAUGGGCAUCGGUUCAAGUUCUGGCUGCUCCAAUGCCUACCUAGUUCCCUGCUAAUGUGCCUGGAAAAGCACAGAAGAUAGCCCAAGUGCUUGGGCUGCUGCACCCACAUCGGAGACACAGAUGGAGUUCCAAGUUCCUGGCCCAGCACUGGCUGUUGCAGCCAUUUGGGGAAUGAACCAAUAGAUGGAAGAUUCUCCCUCUUUCUCUCU
Molecule: long non-coding RNA, 2015 nt
Organism: Lepus europaeus (European hare)
Lineage: Eukaryota; Metazoa; Chordata; Mammalia; Lagomorpha; Leporidae
Exons: 5
Source: RefSeq, a predicted model, not a curated record